GGCGCAAGGGUGCGUAACGCGUGAGCAACUUGCCCGGUUUCAGGGGGAUAACCGGUGGAAACGCCGACUAAUACCCAUAGCAUCACAUUGAGGCAUCUUAUGUGAUUAAAGAGAUUCGGAAACGGAUAGGCUCGCGUGACAUUAGCUAGUUGUGGGGUAACGGCCUACCCAAGUCGACGAUCGGUAGCCGAACUGAGAGGUUGAACGGCCACAUUGGGACUGAGACACGGCCCAGACUCCUACGGGAGGCAGCAGUGGGGGAUAUUGCACAAUGGGGGAAACCCUGAUGCAGCAAUGCCGCGUGAGGGAAGAAGGUCUUCGGAUUGUAAACCUAAGUUAUCAGGGACGAAACAAAUGACGGUACCUGAAGAGAAAGCUCCGGCUAACUACGUG
RNAcentral lists this ribosomal RNA (393 nucleotides) under uncultured bacterium. RNAcentral describes it as "bacterial SSU rRNA". It matches the Rfam family "Bacterial small subunit ribosomal RNA", at positions 97 to 507 of the family's 1533-position model. The record is from RNAcentral.